CCUACGGGUGGCAGCAGUGAGGAAUAUUGGUCAAUGGAAGGAAGCCUGAACCAGCCAUGCCGCGUGCAGGACGACGGCUCUACGAGUUGUAAACUGCUUUUGUACAGGGGUAAACUGCCUUACGUGUAGGGAUUUGAAAGUACGGUACGAAUAAGGAUCGGCUAACUCCGUGCCAGCAGCCGCGGUAAUACGGAGGAUCCGAGCGUUAUCCGGAUUCAUUGGGUUUAAAGGGUGCGUAGGUGGUUUUAUAAGUUAGCGGUGUAAUACCGAUGCUCAACAUCGGGGCUGCCGCUAAUACUGUAGGACUAGAGAUCGGAUGCAGCAGGCGGAAUGUGUAGUGUAGCGGUGAAAUGCAUAGAGAUUACACAGAACACCGAUUGCGAAGGCAGCUUGCUAGGCCGGAUCUGACACUGAUGCACGAAAGCGUGGGGAUCGAACAGGAUUAGAUACCCGGGUAGUC
RNAcentral lists this ribosomal RNA (460 nucleotides) under uncultured bacterium. RNAcentral's name for it is "partial 16S ribosomal RNA". It matches the Rfam family "Bacterial small subunit ribosomal RNA", at positions 338 to 795 of the family's 1533-position model. The record is from RNAcentral.